CGGCAACAGCUCAAAUUUGAAAUCUGGCCCUCGUGGUCCGAGUUGUAAUUUGUAGAGGAUGCUUUUGGUUAGGUGCCUUCCGAGUUCCCUGGAACGGGACGCCAUAGAGGGUGAGAGCCCCGUCUGGUUGGACACCGAGCCUCUGUAAAGCUCCUUCGACGAGUCGAGUAGUUUGGGAAUGCUGCUCUAAAUGGGAGGUAUAUGUCUUCUAAAGCUAAAUAUUGGCCAGAGACCGAUAGCGCACAAGUAGAGUGAUCGAAAGAUGAAAAGCACUUUGAAAAGAGGGUUAAAAAGUACGUGAAAUUGUUGAAAGGGAAGCGCUUGUGACCAGACUUGGGCCCGGUCAAUCAUCCAGGGUUCUCCCUGGUGCACUUGGCCGGCCCAGGCCAGCAUCAGUUUGUCGCGGGGGAUAAAGACGUUGGGAAUGUGGCUCCUCCGGGAGUGUUAUAGCCCUUCGUGUAAUACCCUGCUUCGGACUGAGGUUCGCGCAUCUGCAAGGAUGCUGGCGUAAUGGUCAUCAGCGACCCGUCUUGAAACACGGACCAAGGAGUCGUCUUCGUAUGCGAGUGUUCGGGUGUCAAACCCCUACGCGUAAUGAAAGUGAACGCAGGUGAGAGCUUCGGCGCAUCAUCGACCGAUCCUGAUGUUCUCGGAUGGAUUUGAGUAAGAGCAUACGGGGCCGGACCCGAAAGAAGGUGAACUAUGCCUGUAUAGGGUGAAGCCAGAGGAAACUCUGGUGGAGGCUCGCAGCGGUUCUGACGUGCAAAUCGAUCGUCAAAUAUGGGCAUGGGGGCGAA
RNAcentral lists this ribosomal RNA (797 nucleotides) under Nectria pseudotrichia. RNAcentral's name for it is "eukaryotic LSU rRNA". It matches the Rfam family "Eukaryotic large subunit ribosomal RNA", at positions 99 to 927 of the family's 3401-position model. The record is from RNAcentral. Lineage: Eukaryota; Fungi; Ascomycota; Sordariomycetes; Hypocreales; Nectriaceae.